AGAGUUUGAUCAUGGCUCAGAACGAACGCUGGCGGCGUGCCUAAUACAUGCAAGUCGAGCGAGAAAGUCUUCUUCGGAAGGCGAGUAAAGCGGCGCACGGGUGAGUAACACGUAGGUAACCUGCCCUGGAGAUCGGGAUAACCCAGUGAAAACCGGGCUAAUACCGAAUACGGCCAGGAGGUCCUCGGAUCUCCUGGAGAAAGGUGGCCUCUUCUUGAAAGCUUCCGCUCCGGGAUGGACCUGCGCCCCAUUAGCUUGUUGGUGAGGUAACGGCUCACCAAGGCGAUGAUGGGUAGCUGAUCUGAGAGGAUGAUCAGCCACACUGGAACUGAGACACGGUCCAGACUCCUACGGGAGGCAGCAGUAGGGAAUUUUGUCCAAUGGGCGCAAGCCUGAGACAGCAACGCCGCGUGUGGGAUGAAGGCCCUCGGGUCGUAAACCACUGUCAGAGGGGAAGAACCGCCGGUGGGGGAAUAUUCCGCCGGCCUGACGGUACCCUCAAAGGAAGCACCGGCUAACUCCGUGCCAGCAGCCGCGGUAACACGGAGGGUGCGAGCGUUGUUCGGAAUUACUGGGCGUAAAGCGCGUGUAGGUGGCUGCGUAAGUCGGUUGUGAAAUCCCCAGGCUCAACCUGGGAACUGCAUCCGAAACUGCGUGGCUAGAGUCCCGGAGAGGAAGGCAGAAUUCCGAGUGUAGGGGUGAAAUCCGUAGAUAUUCGGAGGAAUACCAGUGGCGAAGGCGGCCUUCUAGACGGUGACUGACACUGAGACGCGAAAGUGUGGGGAGCAAACAGGAUUAGAUACCCUGGUAGUCCACACCGUAAACGUUGUGCACUAGGCGUCGGGGGUAUUCACCCCUCCGGUGCCGCAGCUAACGCAUUAAGUGCACCGCCUGGGGAGUACGGCCGCAAGGCUAAAACUCAAAGGAAUUGACGGGGACCCGCACAAGCGGUGGAGCAUGUGGUUUAAUUCGAUGCAACGCGAAGAACCUUACCUGGGCUUGACAUCCCCGCGAACCUCUCCCGAAAGGAGAGGGUGCCCUUCGGGAACGCGGUGACAGGUGCUGCAUGGCUGUCGUC
RNAcentral lists this ribosomal RNA (1078 nucleotides) under uncultured bacterium. RNAcentral describes it as "bacterial SSU rRNA". It matches the Rfam family "Bacterial small subunit ribosomal RNA", at positions 8 to 1056 of the family's 1533-position model. The record is from RNAcentral.